This 1049-nucleotide ribosomal RNA is filed under the name marine metagenome. RNAcentral describes it as "bacterial SSU rRNA". It matches the Rfam family "Bacterial small subunit ribosomal RNA", at positions 8 to 1070 of the family's 1533-position model. The record is from RNAcentral.
AGAGUAUGAUACCGGCUCAGGACGAACGCUGGCGGCGUGGAUUAGGCAUGCAAGUCGAACGAGAAUCAUGGCUUCGGCUGUGAAGAUAGUGGCGAAAGGGUGAGUAACGCGUAGGUAAUUUGCCUUUGAGUUAAGAAUAACAUACCGAAAGGGAUGCUAAUACUGAAUACGAUCGGGGAGUCUUCGGCCCCCCCGAUGAAAGGUGCAAACCGCUCAAAGAUAAGCCUGCGUCCUAUUAGCUAGUUGGUGAGGUAACGGCUCACCAAGGCGACGAUGGGUAGCUGGUCUGAGAGGAUGGUCAGCCACAUUGGGACUGAGACACUGCCCAAACUCCUACGGGAGGCUGCAGUCGAGAAUAUUUCGCAAUGGGGGAAACCCUGACGAUGCGACGCCGCGUGGAGGAUGAAUGCCUUCGGGUUGUAAACUCCUUUUCUAAGAGACGAAGAUCUGACUGUAUCUUAGGAAUAAGCCCCAGCUAACUACGUGCCAGCAGCUGCGGUAAGACGUAGGGGGCAAGCGUUGUCCGGAAUUACUGGGCGUAAAGCGUGCGCAGGCGGCCAUGUAAGUCAGGUAUGAAAUCGAUUGGCUCAACCAAUCAACUGUGCUUGAAACUACAUGGCUUGAGUACGAGAGGGGAAAGCGGAAUGUACAGUGUAGCGGUGAAAUGCGUAGAGAUUGUACAGAACACCCACGGCGAAGGCAGCUUUCUGGCUCGAUACUGACGCUCAGGCACGAAAGUUAGGGGAGCGAAAGGGAUUAGAUACCCCUGUAGUCCUAACCGUAAACGAUGGGUACUAAGUAUAGGAGGGAUUACCCUUCUGUGCUGUAGCUAACGCAUUAAGUACCCCGCCUGAGGAUUACGGCCGCAAGGUUAAAACUCAAGGUAAUUGACGGGAGGCCGCACAAGCGGUGGAGCAUGUCGCUUAUAUUCGAAGCAACGCGAAGAACCUUACCAGGGCUUGACAUCCUUUGACCGCCAUAGAAAUAUGGUUUUCCCUUCGGGGACAAAGUGACAGGUGCUGCAUGGCUGUCGUCAGCUCGUGUCGUGA